GGAGGGGUACCGAAGCGGUCACAACGGGGCGGUCUUGAAAACCGUUAGAGAGCAAUCUCACGCAGGUUCGAAUCCUGUCCCCUCCGCCA
This 89-nucleotide transfer RNA is filed under the name Eubacteriales Family XIII. Incertae Sedis bacterium. RNAcentral's name for it is "tRNA-Ser". It matches the Rfam family "tRNA". From Rfam's summary of the family: Transfer RNA (tRNA) molecules are approximately 80 nucleotides in length. Their secondary structure includes four short double-helical elements and three loops (D, anti-codon, and T loops). The record is from RNAcentral. Lineage: Bacteria; Bacillati; Bacillota; Clostridia; Peptostreptococcales; Anaerovoracaceae.